This 253-nucleotide ribosomal RNA is filed under the name uncultured bacterium. RNAcentral's name for it is "partial 16S ribosomal RNA". It matches the Rfam family "Bacterial small subunit ribosomal RNA", at positions 524 to 776 of the family's 1533-position model. The record is from RNAcentral.
UACGGAGGAUGCAAGCGUUAUCCGGAAUGAUUGGGCGUAAAGCGUCCGCAGGUGGCAAUGUAAGUCUGCUGUUAAAGAGUGAGGCUCAACCUCAUAAGGGCAGUGGAAACUACAUAGCUAGAGUGCGUUCGGGGCAAAGGGAAUUCCUGGUGUAGCGGUGAAAUGCGUAGAGAUCAGGAAGAACACCGGUGGCGAAAGCGCUUUGCUAGGCCGCAACUGACACUGAGGGACGAAAGCUAGGGGAGCGAAUGGG